AGAGAGAGACAUGCGCGCAUAUCAAUAAGCGGAGGAAAAGAAACUAACAAGGAUUCCCCUAGUAACGGCGAGUGAAGCGGGAAGAGCUCAAAUUUGAAAUCUUAAAGGGUUUCCCUUUACGAAUUGUAGUUUAAAGAAGUGUUUUCUGUUGAGGUUUUGGUAAAGGUUCUUUGGAAUAGGACAUCAUAGAGGGUGAGAAUCCCGUAUUUGACCUUUACUUUCAACUUUGUGAUACACUUUCAAAGAGUCGGAUUGUUUGGGAAUGCAGUCCAAAAUGGGUGGUAAAUUUCAUCUAAAGCUAAAUAUUGGCGAGAGACCGAUAGCGAACAAGUACCGUGAGGGAAAGAUGAAAAGAACUUUGAAAAGAGAGUUAAACAGUACGUGAAAUUGUCAAAAGGGAAGCGUUUGACACCAGUGUUGUUUUUCUGAAAAUCAAUUAAAGAACUGUUUAUGCUAAGUUGUUUAGACUUUAUCAGCUAACUGUUUAGUUUUGAGCUUUUCUUUAAUGCACUUUUCAGUUAACAAGUCAACAUCAAUUUCUUUUGCUGUAAAAAAGCUUGAGGAAGGUGGCUUGAGAUUCGUCUUAAGUGUUUAUAGCCUCUUGCCUAUGCAGUCGGAGAGAUUGAGGUCUGCAGCGUAGAUCCUUCGGGGCUAAAUGCAUUUGUGCUAAGUUAUAGCAUUUUAUAGACAACUUGUUGACUAUGAUUUGUCUUGUAGCUUACUCGCUUAUGUUAUUUUACCUACGCUUAGGAUGUUGAGCGCAUGUCUCUCUCU
RNAcentral lists this ribosomal RNA (774 nucleotides) under uncultured Neocallimastigales. Its description in RNAcentral is "partial large subunit ribosomal RNA". It matches the Rfam family "Eukaryotic large subunit ribosomal RNA", at positions 23 to 616 of the family's 3401-position model. Lineage: Eukaryota; Fungi; Neocallimastigomycota; Neocallimastigomycetes; Neocallimastigales. The record is from RNAcentral.